RNAcentral lists this ribosomal RNA (1036 nucleotides) under uncultured fungus. Its description in RNAcentral is "eukaryotic LSU rRNA". The stretch from base 351 to 1036 matches the Rfam family "Eukaryotic large subunit ribosomal RNA", at positions 1 to 664 of the family's 3401-position model. The record is from RNAcentral. Lineage: Eukaryota; Fungi.
AUCGAUGAAGAACGCAGCGAAAUGCGAUAAGUAAUGUGAAUUGCAGAAUUCAGUGAAUCAUCGAAUCUUUGAACGCACCUUGCGCUCCUUGGUAUUCCGAGGAGCAUGCCUGUUUGAGUGUCAUUAAAAUCUCAACCUCUUUGGUUUCUUUCACGAAGCCAACCAGGCUUGGAUGUGGGGGUUGCAGGCUUUCAAUCAGAAGGUCGGCUCUCCUCAAAUGCAUUAGCAGAACCUUUGUUGUGGAAUGCCUUUGGCGUGAUAAUUAUCUGCGCCAUCGUCACCUGCGUCGUUCAGCUUACAACCGUCCCCCCUUCACGGGACAGCUCUUUCCGAGCUUCAUUUGACAUUUUUGACCUCAAAUCAGGUAGGACUACCCGCUGAACUUAAGCAUAUCAAUAAGCGGAGGAAAAGAAACUAACAAGGAUUCCCCUAGUAACUGCGAGUGAAGAGGGAAAAGCUCAAAUUUGAAAUCUGGUGGCCCCUGUGGCCGUCCGAGUUGUAAUUUAGAGAAGUGCUAUCCGCGUUGGACCGUGUACAAGUCUCCUGGAAUGGAGCGUCAUAGAGGGUGAGAAUCCCGUCUUUGACACGGAUCACCAGGGCUUAUGUGAUGCGCUCUCGAAGAGUCGAGUUGUUUGGGAAUGCAGCUCAAAAUGGGUGGUAAAUUCCAUCUAAAGCUAAAUAUUGGCGAGAGACCGAUAGCGAACAAGUACCGUGAGGGAAAGAUGAAAAGAACUUUGAAAAGAGAGUUAAACAGUACGUGAAAUUGUUGAAAGGGAAACGCUUGAAGUCAGUCGCGUCGUCCAGGGAUCAACCUUGCAUCAUUUGCUGGGUGUACUUCCUGGUUGACGGGUCAGCAUCGAUUUCGACCGUCGGAAAAAGGUCAAGGGAAUGUGGCAUCUUCGGAUGUGUUAUAGCCCUUGGUUCGCAUACGACGGUUGGGAUCGAGGAACUCAGCACGCCGCAAGGCCGGGGUUCGCCCACGUACGUGCUUAGGAUGCUGGCAUAAUGGCUUUAAUCGACCCGUCUUGAAACACGG